Molecule: ribosomal RNA, 499 nt
Filed under: uncultured Glomeromycotina
Lineage: Eukaryota; Fungi; Glomeromycota
Description: partial small subunit ribosomal RNA
Rfam family: Eukaryotic small subunit ribosomal RNA
Source: RNAcentral
CCAAUAGCGUAUAUUAAAGUUGUUGCAGUUAAAAAGCUCGUAGUUGAAUUUCGAGACCGGUUUACUGGUCGUGCUUUUGUACGUACUGGUAUUAUUGGUUUCUCCUUUCUGACGAAUCAUAAUGCCAUUAAUUUGGUGUUUUUGGGAAUCAGGACUGUUACUUUGAAAAAAUUAGAGUGUUUAAAGCAGGCUCACGCUUGAAUACAUUAGCAUGGAAUAACGAAAUAGGACGUUUGAUUUUAUUUUGUUGGUUUCUAGGAUCGACGUAAUGAUUAAUAGGGAUAGUUGGGGGCAUUAGUAUUCAAUUGUCAGAGGUGAAAUUCUUGGAUUUAUUGAAGACUAACUACUGCGAAAGCAUUUGCCAAGGAUGUUUUCAUUAAUCAAGAACGAAAGUUAGGGGAUCGAAGACGAUCAGAUACCGUCGUAGUCUUAACCAUAAACUAUGCCGACUAGGGAUCGGAUGAUGUUAAUUUUUUAAUGACUCAUUCGGCGCCUUACG